UCAUUAUUUAAGUGAUACUGCACUGUUAAGCUCCUUCAGAAAUUGCCAUGCCAACCAACGUCUGGUCCUCAGAUCCUUAUCUCCUGACAAAGGAUUCUGAACCUCAAAUAGAACUGCAGAUGGAAAUGGACCAUGAGGGCCCAUUUCUCUCUACCACAUCAGAAGUGCUUGCUGCUUCCCUUCUGGAGUCACAGUUGUAUGUGCAGAGUUGCUUUUAAACACAGAUGCCGGAUGCUUUGGAAGUGAUGGAUUGAGGUGCACACAUAAUGACCUGUUCCAGUCAGAAACUGAGAGCCUCAGAAGGAUUUGCC
Lagopus leucura (white-tailed ptarmigan) is the source of this 311-nucleotide long non-coding RNA. RefSeq lists it as uncharacterized. The record is from RefSeq and is a predicted model, not a curated record. Lineage: Eukaryota; Metazoa; Chordata; Aves; Galliformes; Phasianidae. The transcript has 3 exons.